RNAcentral lists this long non-coding RNA (422 nucleotides) under Solanum tuberosum (potato). RNAcentral describes it as "long non-coding RNA (STUB_LNC008958)". The record is from RNAcentral. Lineage: Eukaryota; Viridiplantae; Streptophyta; Magnoliopsida; Solanales; Solanaceae.
UUUUUUAGUGUUGGGCAUAUGCGUUAACGAUAACAUUCUGAUUCGGCAUCACAAUCGGGAGUUUACACGCAACUGGAACCACAUUCCGCCGCCGAGAUAUUCUUCAACAGAGACGCCGUUGUCCUGGCGGUUAAUUAAAGUGUGAUUAGGGUUCCUGAACAAUGGAGUCUUUACAACGCAGAGUUGAAUCAUGGAUCAGAGGCCAAAAAUCGAAGAUGUUGAAAAUCACUUGGCCACAGCAAUGGAAGAUGGUUGUGCGGUGGCCUUGGGCCGAUGCCAGAGAGCAGAGGAAGCUGAUGGAGGAUGAAUUCAAGAGGAGGAAGAAGCAACUUCAGGAUCUUUGUCACGCUGUUAAAGCUGAAUCUGUCGCUGACUUGCAAGAUAUCCUUUGUUGCAUGGUGCUUUCUGAAUGUGUAUAUAAG